GGGGGCAUGGCGGAAUGGUAGACGCUACGGAUUUAAAAUCCGUUGAUCGCAAGAUCGUGAGGGUUCAAGUCCCUCUGCCCCCA
RNAcentral lists this transfer RNA (83 nucleotides) under Romeriopsis navalis LEGE 11480. It matches the Rfam family "tRNA". Rfam says of the family: Transfer RNA (tRNA) molecules are approximately 80 nucleotides in length. Their secondary structure includes four short double-helical elements and three loops (D, anti-codon, and T loops). Lineage: Bacteria; Bacillati; Cyanobacteriota; Cyanophyceae; Leptolyngbyales; Leptolyngbyaceae. The record is from Rfam by way of RNAcentral.